Molecule: ribosomal RNA, 457 nt
Filed under: uncultured Gammaproteobacteria bacterium
Lineage: Bacteria; Pseudomonadati; Pseudomonadota; Gammaproteobacteria
Description: partial 16S ribosomal RNA
Source: RNAcentral
AAGCGUUAGCUGCGCCACUGAAAGAUCUUGUCUCCCAACAGCUAGUUGUCAUCGUUUACGGCGUGGACUACCAGGGUAUCUAAUCCUGUUCGCUACCCACGCUUUCGCACCUUAGUGUCAGUACAGAACCAGGAAGCUGCCUUCGCCAUUGGUAUUCUUCACAAUAUCUACGCAUUCCACCGCUACACUGUGAAUUCUACUUCCCUCUUACGUACUCUAGUCAUCUAGUUUUGGAUGCAGUUCCUAGGUUGAGCCAGGGCUUUCACAUCCAACUUAAAAAACCACCUACGCGCGCUUUACGCCCAGUAAUUCCGAUUAACGCUUGGACCUUCCGUAUUACCGCGGCUGCUGGCACGGAAUUAGCCGGUCCUUAUUCUGUAAGUAACAUCAAGGAUUGCAGGUAUUAACUACAAUCUUUUUCUCCCUGCUUAAAGUGCUUUACAACCCUAGGGCCUUC